RNAcentral lists this ribosomal RNA (497 nucleotides) under uncultured bacterium. Its description in RNAcentral is "partial 16S ribosomal RNA". It matches the Rfam family "Bacterial small subunit ribosomal RNA", at positions 28 to 507 of the family's 1533-position model. The record is from RNAcentral.
GACGAACGCUGGCGGCGUGCCUAAUACAUGCAAGUUGAGCGAUGAAGAUUGGUGCUUGCCCCAAUUUGAAGAGCAGCGCACGGGUGAGUAACGCGUGGGGAAUCUGCCUUUGAGCGGGGGACAACAUUUGGAAACGAAUGCUAAUACCGCAUAACAACUUUAAACAUAAGUUUUAAGUUUGAAAGAUGCAAUUGCAUCACUCAAAGAUGAUCCCGCGUUGUAUUAGCUAGUUGGUGAGGUAAAGGCUCACCAAGGCGAUGAUACAUAGCCGACCUGAGAGGGGGAUCGGCCACAUUGGGACUGAGACACGGCCCAAACUCCUACGGGAGGCAGCAGUAGGGAAUCUUCGGCAAGGGACGAAAGUCUGACCGAGCAACGCCGCGGGAGUGAAGAAGGGUGUCGGAUCGUAAAACUCUGUUGGUAGAGAAGAACGUUGGUGAGAGUGGAAAGCUCAUCAAGUGACGGUAACUACCCAGAAAGGGACGGCUAACUACGUG